AGUGAACGCUGGCGGUAGGCCUAACACAUGCAAGUCGAACGGCAGCACAGUAAGAGCUUGCUCUUACGGGUGGCGAGUGGCGGACGGGUGAGGAAUACAUCGGAAUCUACUUUUUCGUGGGGGAUAACGUAGGUAAACUUACGCUAAUACCGCAUACGACCUACGGGUGAAAGCAGGGGAUCUUCGGACCUUGCGCGAUUGAAUGAGCCGAUGUCGGAUUAGCUAGUUGGCGGGGUAAAGGCCCACCAAGGCGACGAUCCGUAGCUGGUCUGAGAGGAUGAUCAGCCACACUGGAACUGAGACACGGUCCAGACUCCUACGGGAGGCAGCAGUGGGGAAUAUUGGACAAUGGGCGCAAGCCUGAUCCAGCCAUACCGCGUGGGUGAAGAAGGCCUUCGGGUUGUAAAGCCCUUUUGUUGGGAAAGAAAAGCAGUAGGUUAAUACCCCGCUGUUCUGACGGUACCCAAAGAAUAAGCACCGGCUAACUUCGUG
Molecule: ribosomal RNA, 492 nt
Filed under: uncultured bacterium
Lineage: Bacteria
Description: partial 16S ribosomal RNA
Rfam family: Bacterial small subunit ribosomal RNA
Source: RNAcentral